CAGCACCGCAAGUGGUCAGGAUGAUUAUUGGGCCUAAAGCAUCCGUAGCCGGCGCUGUAAGUUUUCGGUUAAAUCUGUACGCUCAACGUACAGGCUGCCGGGAAUACUGCAGCGCUAGGGAGUGGGAGAGGUAGACGGUACUCGGUAGGAAGGGGUAAAAUCCUUUGAUCUAUUGAUGACCACCUGUGGCGAAGGCGGUCUACCAGAACACGUCCGACGGUGAGGGAUGAAAGCUGGGGGAGCAAACCGGAUUAGAUACCCGCGUAGUCC
Molecule: ribosomal RNA, 270 nt
Filed under: uncultured archaeon
Lineage: Archaea
Description: partial 16S ribosomal RNA
Rfam family: Archaeal small subunit ribosomal RNA
Source: RNAcentral